RNAcentral lists this ribosomal RNA (460 nucleotides) under uncultured bacterium. RNAcentral's name for it is "partial 16S ribosomal RNA". It matches the Rfam family "Bacterial small subunit ribosomal RNA", at positions 338 to 795 of the family's 1533-position model. The record is from RNAcentral.
CCUACGGGUGGCAGCAGUGAGGAAUAUUGGUCAAUGGACGCAAGUCUGAACCAGCCAUGCCGCGUGCAGGAAGAAGGUGCUAUGCAUUGUAAACUGCUUUUAUACGGGGGUAAUUAGAGAUACGUGUAUCUGGAUGAAAGUACCGUAUGAAUAAGGAUCGGCUACCUCCGUGCCAGCAGCCGCGGUAAUAGGGGGGAUCAGGGCGUUAUCCGGUUUUAUUGGGUUUAAAGGGUGCGGAGGCGGGCAGGUAAGUGAGAGGUGAAAGCUCGAUGCUGAACAACGAAACUGCCUUUGUGACUGUCUGACUAGAGGGUAGUUGCGGAAGGCGGAAUGUGUGGUGUAGCGGUGAAAUGCUUAGAUAUCACACAGAACACCGAUUGCGAAGGCAUCUUUCCAAGCUAUUACUGACGCUGAGGCACGAAAGCGUGGGGAGCGAACAGGAUUAGAUACCCGUGUAGUC